This 254-nucleotide ribosomal RNA is filed under the name uncultured bacterium. Its description in RNAcentral is "partial 16S ribosomal RNA". It matches the Rfam family "Bacterial small subunit ribosomal RNA", at positions 524 to 776 of the family's 1533-position model. The record is from RNAcentral.
UACGGAGGGAGCGAGCGUUGUCCGAAGUUACUGGGCGUAAAGCGCGCGUAGGCGGGAAAUUAAGUGAGAAGUGAAAGGCUGGGGCUUAACCCCAUGCAGUGCUCCUCAUACUGGUUUUCUUGAGGGUGGUAGAGAGAAGUGGAAUGGCUGGUGUAGCGGUGAAAUGCGUAGAUAUCAGGAGGAACACCGAUGGCGAAGGCAGGUCUCUGGGCUGACACUGACGCUCAUGCACGAAAGCGUGGGGAGCAAACAGG